UGAAGAGUUUGAUCAUGGCUCAGAUUGAACGCUGGCGGCAGGCCUAACACAUGCAAGUCGAACGGUAACAGGAAGCAGCUUGCUGCUUUGCUGACGAGUGGCGGACGGGUGAGUAAUGUCUGGGAAACUGCCUGAUGGAGGGGGAUAACUACUGGAAACGGUGGCUAAUACCGCAUAACGUCGCAAGACCAAAGAGGGGGACCUUCGGGCCUCUUGCCAUCAGAUGUGCCCAGAUGGGAUUAGCUUGUUGGUGAGGUAACGGCUCACCAAGGCGACGAUCCCUAGCUGGUCUGAGAGGAUGACCAGCCACACUGGAACUGAGACACGGUCCAGACUCCUACGGGAGGCAGCAGUGGGGAAUAUUGCACAAUGGGCGCAAGCCUGAUGCAGCCAUGCCGCGUGUAUGAAGAAGGCCUUCGGGUUGUAAAGUACUUUCAGCGGGGAGGAAGGUGUUGUGGUUAAUAACCACAGCAAUUGACGUUACCCGCAGAAGAAGCACCGGCUAACUCCGUGCCAGCAGCCGCGGUAAUACGGAGGGUGCAAGCGUUAAUCGGAAUUACUGGGCGUAAAGCGCACGCAGGCGGUCUGUCAAGUCGGAUGUGAAAUCCCCGGGCUCAACCUGGGAACUGCAUUCGAAACUGGCAGGCUUGAGUCUUGUAGAGGGGGGUAGAAUUCCAGGUGUAGCGGUGAAAUGCGUAGAGAUCUGGAGGAAUACCGGUGGCGAAGGCGGCCCCCUGGACAAAGACUGACGCUCAGGUGCGAAAGCGUGGGGAGCAAACAGGAUUAGAUACCCUGGUAGUCCACGCCGUAAACGAUGUCUACUUGGAGGUUGUGCCCUUGAGGCGUGGCUUCCGGAGCUAACGCGUUAAGUAGACCGCCUGGGGAGUACGGCCGCAAGGUUAAAACUCAAAUGAAUUGACGGGGGCCCGCACAAGCGGUGGAGCAUGUGGUUUAAUUCGAUGCAACGCGAAGAACCUUACCUGGUCUUGACAUCCACAGAACUUUCCAGAGAUGGAUUGGUGCCUUCGGGAACUGUGAGACAGGUGCUGCAUGGCUGUCGUCAGCUCGUGUUGUGAAAUGUUGGGUUAAGUCCCGCAACGAGCGCAACCCUUAUCCUUUGUUGCCAGCGGUCCGGCCGGGAACUCAAAGGAGACUGCCAGUGAUAAACUGGAGGAAGGUGGGGAUGACGUCAAGUCAUCAUGGCCCUUACGACCAGGGCUACACACGUGCUACAAUGGCGCAUACAAAGAGAAGCGACCUCGCGAGAGCAAGCGGACCUCAUAAAGUGCGUCGUAGUCCGGAUUGGAGUCUGCAACUCGACUCCAUGAAGUCGGAAUCGCUAGUAAUCGUGGAUCAGAAUGCCACGGUGAAUACGUUCCCGGGCCUUGUACACACCGCCCGUCACACCAUGGGAGUGGGUUGCAAAAGAAGUAGGUAGCUUAACCUUCGGGAGGGCGCUUACCACUUUGUGAUUCAUGACUGGGGUGAAGUCGUAACAAGGUAACCGUAGGGGAACCUGC
This 1520-nucleotide ribosomal RNA is filed under the name Salmonella enterica. RNAcentral describes it as "bacterial SSU rRNA". It matches the Rfam family "Bacterial small subunit ribosomal RNA". Lineage: Bacteria; Pseudomonadati; Pseudomonadota; Gammaproteobacteria; Enterobacterales; Enterobacteriaceae. The record is from RNAcentral. RNAcentral also lists the same sequence under 1 other name.